RNAcentral lists this ribosomal RNA (210 nucleotides) under Triticum aestivum (bread wheat). RNAcentral describes it as "partial small subunit ribosomal RNA". Lineage: Eukaryota; Viridiplantae; Streptophyta; Magnoliopsida; Poales; Poaceae. The record is from RNAcentral.
AUGACAAUUAACAAGGCGUAGGGUCAGACUAUCCCAAACGUCGGUAUUUACCUUCCCGAGCCAGUAUUCUCACAUGGUCAGCUAUAUGUUGCAUUGUCAAGGGGAGUGUCUAGAGAGACGACACGAAUUUCGGCCAAGCCAAACAAGGAGGUUGAUAAAUUCGGAAAAGGCACAAAGAACAUUGUCUACAGAGAUGUUUUGGGGAGUUGA